CAGUCGCCGCGGGAAUACGUAGGGUGCAAGCGUUAAUCGGAAUUACUGGGCGUAAAGCGUGCGCAGGCGGUUAUAUAAGACAGAUGUGAAAUCCCCGGGCUCAACCUGGGAACUGCAUUUGUGACUGUAUAGCUAGAGUACGGCAGAGGGGGAUGGAAUUCCGCGUGUAGCAGUGAAAUGCGUAGAUAUGCGGAGGAACACCGAUGGCGAAGGCAAUCACCUGGGCCUGUACUGACGCUCAUGCACGAAAGCGUGGGGAGCAAACAGGAUUAGAUACCCCAGUAGUCCCUGUCUCUUAUAC
RNAcentral lists this ribosomal RNA (301 nucleotides) under uncultured bacterium. Its description in RNAcentral is "partial 16S ribosomal RNA". It matches the Rfam family "Bacterial small subunit ribosomal RNA", at positions 509 to 807 of the family's 1533-position model. The record is from RNAcentral.